UCACACUUUCAUGCUGCAUGAAAUUAAAGUAUGAACUUUCCUCAACCCAUUACGUGUGCAUGAACUCAACAAAUGCCGUUGAUGCGUCUGUAUCGAUUCGCUCGAUCGAGUCAUUUAUGUUUCGUCCCGAAAAAGAUCCGAAUCGUUUGUGAAUCGCAUCACUGUUAGAAAUCCAAGAGAAGAGAUCCUCUUCCCUUAACAUCAUCAGAGGAAAAAUCUGCUUCUUAAUCAAUUAGUUUCAGCGUUUGUACCUCUCUCUCUGGAUCCAUGUCAUCCUACAGUCUCUUCUCGAGCAAGGCGUGGUGAGACACUUUACACAAGAUUUACGUAAGAUUAAUGAAUUGAUUGUUUCUUCUGUAAUAUCACAGGUUCCUGCCAUUAAUGAUCUCUGUUCUGCCUUUUCUUCCACGCACAUGAGGAGAUAGCGUUUGGACUCAAGGUUUCAUUUGACUCUCCUGCUGGUUUUUUUUUUCAGCUGUAAUUCAUAACGUGCUCUGUGACCUUCUCCCUCCCUCAGGACUCUGUGGUCUGUGUGUUCUGGUGUCUGCUGAGUCACCAGAAAUCUGCCAAGACACUGACACUUGCGCCUGCUCCAACAUCUGGCGCAUAAGGGCUUUAAGGUUUCCAGAACCAAGCUGCAAUAUUGUAUGGACACUUAAGUAUUUGAACUUUUGAAGUUUUGAACUUUCUCAAGGCUGUCAUUCUAGACACAAAACCUCCUCCACUGCAACAUCCUUUGACCUGGACUGACGCUAUGGUGGUCGCUUAUCACUCCCUCAGAAGCACCCUUUGUUCCGCCCCUGGGUCACCUGCUCACUUCAAGCCCUUCCACCUCUAUGCCUGUGGACACCGGGGCACAGCCUCUGGGGAGCGUGGGGGGGGGGGAAUGCAUCAUUGUGCGUUUUUAUCCAAAACAUUAGACAUUGUUGCUCAAGGCUUACCUGUGUGUCUGGGGGCUGUCUCCGCAUGUGCUUUGAUGGUUUUAGAUGCGGAAAAAUUGGUUUUUGUCUCACCCAUUGAUCUUGCACUCGUCACAUCAAGUUAAACAGGUGUUGCAAAAUUUACAGACCGAUUAAAUUAAUUUAUCAGUAAUAGGGGUCUCUAGGGAUCUUUGUUGAUGGUUCUUGUUCUAAACCCUCAGACGGUUCUUGUUUUAUAAUUUAUAAUAUUAUCACACCUCUGUGGUUAUUCUGUGUGUUCAGUCAAUAUCAGCCUGAUAUUCUGCAUGAGACAUACGCUUUUUUUUCUUUUUCAUUUGAUUUUUGUCAUCUUGAUUGUGGACAAAUUCUCUAAAUGGGUAGAAGUUUUUCCCUGUUCUCGAGAGAACACGAAGGUAGUUACUCGUUUUGAUACCUACGGUAGUUAUAAUAAUAAUAAUAAUAAUAAUAAUGAUACAUUUUAUUUAUAAGUGCCUUUCAAGGUACCUAAGAACACUGGACAGUAAAAAAGAAAAACAAACAAUAAAAUAACAACAAUAAAAUAAUAAGAAAUCAAUAAUAAUUAUUGUUAUAGUUAUGGGGUUUCAAAUGCCAUAGAUUCCGACAAAGGUACCCCUUUCACCUCAAAAGUCACACAAAACCUUUGUAAGUAUCUCUAAACUAAACUGGUGUUUUCACAUUCCUCAAUCCUCUGGUAUCGUAGAACGUACUAAUCGAACAUUGAAAGACAAAUUAAUUAAGGUCAUGCAGGACACAGGUUUGCUUCUGUAAUCCAUAAUUCAUUCUGGCUGAAAUUCGUGUGGCACCAAGAAAUUAUUUUUGGAAAUAAAGACUUCCCCUGGAAGAAGGGAACUCCGGCUCCGGGUACCUCUGAUUUGAAGAUGCAUAUGGAUGAGUAUUCUGCAGCCCUUAUAGAUAAGUUGCAUAAAAUUUGUACCAAGGUCAAUAAUACAAUAUUAUCUCCACCACACACCCCUUUCACGUGGGAGACAGGUGCUGGUGUGAUGACUUUUUAAAGUAAUGAUUUGGACAAUUGGGAAAACAAUAUAAUGGGCCUGCAGACAUAGUCACCAUUACUUUUGCUGCUGUUUUAACUGAUCUUUUUCCACAGUGGAUCCAUGCCACUCGAUUGAAGAAGGCUCCAUAACAAAGUUGUGUUACAAUAACAAGUUUGCUGCUAUUAACACUUUUUGUGUCCCUAUCUAGUCUCCCUCUGGCCAGUUUUCUCUCUCUGUCUCUCUCUCUCUCUUUCUGAGCUCUGCACAGAUUUGACUGAGAAUCCUCAAGACGUUGUGAACAAAGAGGGGAAGAGAUCUUGUGCCCCGUUUGGAACCAAUCAUCCUCACUACAACCAUGACAGUCCUCAUCACGGGUUUCGUGGCUUCAUUGUUGCUCGGGGCAGGGCUACCCGCCCGAGCCUUCGUGACUGCUUCAUCUUUGCUCGGGGCAGGGUUACCCGCCCGAGCCUUCUGGACCACUUCAUUGCUCGGAGCAGGGUUACCCGCUCGAGCUGGACUUCGAGACAACAUCUUCUGGACUAACUUCGCUAACUGGACUGCACAAGCGCACACCACACGAAUGUGUUAUGUCUUUCAUCUGAUGCCGUUUUCUACUAUUAUUACACAUCUCUAUGCUCUGAAACUCUGUAUUCUUACAGGACUCUGUUCUCACUAUAGGUCGAUAUGCCUUCUAAUUUCAUUUUUCCCCUCACUGUUUUAGAACAAAUUACUCUGAAGGAAGUAGCGUGUAUCUGGGAAUUAAGAGGUUUUGAGUUUCUCUAAGCUCCGGUGAGGUGGGACGAGGGCUGAUUGGGCAUGCCCGCCCUCUGAGCACCAAUAUACGUCAAGAAGGGCAAAGAUUAACUCAGGAUUAAUUCUCGAUGUAAUCACAUAUAUGAUCAUGAGGUGAUAAUAGGAUUUGAUAAUAGUGAUACUAUUAUCAAAGGGGGGAUUGUUAGGGUUAUAUAAGUAUUAUUCUUAUUAUUCUUAUAAGUAUUAUUAUUAAAAUGGUGACAAAAUUAAGAGUUAACUUAAGGUUCAGUUAAAAAUGACCUUCUGUCUCGGCUGGACAUUGUUUGGGAACAUUUUGUUUAUGAAAUGUGUAUUUUGAACAGAGAAGUGUCUGAAGGACCCACCAAGGUCUGUUUUAGUGUCAGAUCGACCCACACACACACUUUAAUGUUGGAUGUAAUGGUAGCCUUAUUGCUGAACAAAGAGUUAAGACUCUUGUAUUAUAUUUUUAUAGUAUAUAUUAUAGUAUAUAUUACUUAUAGUAUAUUUUAGAGCUUUUUAAGAUCCUUUAUUAUUUUGGACUAUUGCAUAUACUAUGGCAGUGAUUUUAAACUGUUCCUGUGUAGCCUGACCUUCGUCCAGUGGAGAAGAACACUUCUUUGUUAGACCAAACAUAGUCUUUGUUUAAAACAUUGUCGUAAAAACAUCUCACGCGCUUUGACGUACGUAAAUGAAAUUGCUGAAUUGCUGAAAUAUUAUUUUGCUUAUGAUUGAAGGUUUCAUUCACACACACAUACAUAUGGAAUUAAGAUGUGAUUUGCUGACCUAGCACAUAGACACAGAUAUCAAAAUGAUGUCACUCACUCACACCCUCCCAUAGACACACACACACACACACACACACACACACCCCUCUCUGAGGUCACAUACAAACACACACAUUUGACAGACACAAUAGCCGUUUGGAGAGAUUAUGAUUUGUUAUAAAAGGUGUUUGUAAUCUUUCAUCUUUGACGAAGUGACUGUGCGAAUAAACUGGCAUGUGAACUCUCUGGUU
Neoarius graeffei (lesser salmon catfish) is the source of this 3725-nucleotide long non-coding RNA. RefSeq lists it as uncharacterized. The record is from RefSeq and is a predicted model, not a curated record. The transcript is spliced from 2 exons. NCBI's taxonomy places the organism in Eukaryota, Metazoa, Chordata, Actinopteri, Siluriformes, Ariidae.